AACGAACGCUGGCGGCAUGCCUAACACAUGCAAGUCGAACGAGACCUUCGGGUCUAGUGGCGCACGGGUGCGUAACGCGUGGGAACCUGCCCUUAGGUUCGGAAUAACUCCCCGAAAGGGGUGCUAAUACCGGAUAAUGUCUUCGGACCAAAGAUUUAUCGCCCUUGGAUGGGCCCGCGUUGGAUUAGCUAGUUGGUAGGGUAAAAGCCUACCAAGGCGACGAUCCAUAGCUGGUCUGAGAGGAUGAUCAGCCACACUGGGACUGAGACACGGCCCAGACUCCUACGGGAGGCAGCAGUGGGGAAUAUUGGACACUGGGCGAAAGCCUGAUCCAGCAAUGCCGCGUGAGUGAUGAAGGCCUUAGGGUUGUAAAGCUCUUUUACCCGGGAUGAUACUGACAGUACCGGGAGAAUAAGCUCCGGCUAACUCCGU
This 432-nucleotide ribosomal RNA is filed under the name uncultured bacterium. RNAcentral describes it as "partial 16S ribosomal RNA". It matches the Rfam family "Bacterial small subunit ribosomal RNA", at positions 29 to 506 of the family's 1533-position model. The record is from RNAcentral.